UUUCGGCGACGACGACCGCAACGCAUUCACCGACGAAGCGGACGCGAUCCACCGCAACAACCGGACGAUCUGGGACCUUGGUCCCCGGAAUGACCCAGUUGGGUUCUAUCGGGCCCAUUUUUCCGACGAGGUCAGCACCGGACAAAACAAGAUGAACACCUGGCGCGCUCUGAGCCGUAGAAAGAUCAACAUGCUUGAUGACGGCAUGGGCAUGCGGCGAGCGGAGAAUCGCCAUGUGGAGCAUGCCUGGCGACUUCAUAG
Molecule: unclassified non-coding RNA, 261 nt
Filed under: Hevea brasiliensis (rubber tree)
Lineage: Eukaryota; Viridiplantae; Streptophyta; Magnoliopsida; Malpighiales; Euphorbiaceae
Source: RNAcentral